Molecule: ribosomal RNA, 301 nt
Filed under: uncultured bacterium
Lineage: Bacteria
Description: partial 16S ribosomal RNA
Rfam family: Bacterial small subunit ribosomal RNA
Source: RNAcentral
CAGUCGCCGCGGGAAAACGUAGGUGGCAAGCGUUGUCCGGAAUUAUUGGGCGUAAAGGGCUCGCAGGCGGUUUCUUAAGUCUGAUGUGAAAGCCCCCGGCUCAACCGGGGAGGGUCAUUGGAAACUGGGAAACUUGGGUGCAGAAGAGGAGAGUGGAAUUCCACGUGUAGCGGUGAAAUGCGUAGAGAUGUGGAGGAACACCAGUGGCGAAGGCGACUCUCUGGUCUGUAACUGACGCUGAGGAGCGAAAGCGUGGGGAGCGAACAGGAUUAGAUACCCCCGUAGUCCCUGUCUCUUAUAC